This 495-nucleotide ribosomal RNA is filed under the name uncultured bacterium. RNAcentral's name for it is "partial 16S ribosomal RNA". It matches the Rfam family "Bacterial small subunit ribosomal RNA", at positions 30 to 507 of the family's 1533-position model. The record is from RNAcentral.
UGAACGCUGGCGGCGUGCCUAAUACAUGCAAGUCGAGCGAACGGACGAGAAGCUUGCUUCUCUGAUGUUAGCGGCGGACGGGUGAGUAACACGUGGAUAACCUACCUAUAAGACUGGGAUAACUUCGGGAAACCGUAGCUAAUACCGGAUAAUAUUUUGAACCGCAUGGUUCAAAAGUGAAAGACGGUCUUGCUGUCACUUAUAGAUGGAUCCGCGCUGCAUUAGCUAGUUGGUAAGGUAACGGCUUACCAAGGCAACGAUGCAUAGCCGACCUGAGAGGGUGAUCGGCCACACUGGAACUGAGACACGGUCCAGACUCCUACGGGAGGCAGCAGUAGGGAAUCUUCCGCAAUGGGCGAAAGCCUGACGGAGCAACGCCGCGUGAGUGAUGAAGGUCUUCGGAUCGUAAAACUCUGUUAUUAGGGAAGAACAUAUGUGUAAGUAACUGUGCACAUCUUGACGGCACCUAAUCAGAAAGCCACGGCUAACUACGUG